AACGAACGCUGGCGGCAUGCCUAACACAUGCAAGUCGAACGAGACCUUCGGGUCUAGUGGCGCACGGGGGCGUAACGAGGGGGAACCUGCCCUUAGGUUCGGAAUAACUCCCUGAAAGGGGUGCUAAUACCGGCUAAUGUCUUCGGACCAAAGAUUUAUCGCCUUUGGAUGGGCCCGCGUUGGAUUAGCUAGUUGGUAGGGUAAACGCCUACCAAGGCGACGAGACAUAGCUGGUCUGAGAGGAUGAUCAGCCACACUUGGACUGGGACGCGGCCCAGACUCCUACGGGAUGCAGCAGUGGGUAAUAUUGGACAACGGGCGAUGGCCUGAUCCAGCAAUGCCGCGUGAGUGAUGAUGGCCUUAGGGUUGUACAUCUCUUUUACCCGGGAUGAUAAUGACGGUACCGGGAGAAUAAGCUCCGGCUAACUCCGUG
This 433-nucleotide ribosomal RNA is filed under the name uncultured bacterium. RNAcentral describes it as "partial 16S ribosomal RNA". It matches the Rfam family "Bacterial small subunit ribosomal RNA", at positions 29 to 507 of the family's 1533-position model. The record is from RNAcentral.